UACGUAGGGGGCUAGCGUUGUCCGGAAUCAUUGGGCGUAAAGAGCGUGUAGGCGGCCCGGUAAGUCCGCUGUGAAAGUCGAGGGCUCAACCCUCGAAUGCCGGCGGAUACUGUCGGGCUAGAGUCCGGAAGAGGCGAGUGGAAUUCCUGGUGUAGCGGUGAAAUGCGCAGAUAUCAGGAGGAACACCGAUGGCGAAGGCAGGUCUCUGGGCCAUAACUGACGCUGAGAAGCGAAAGCAUGGGGAGCGAACAGG
This 253-nucleotide ribosomal RNA is filed under the name uncultured bacterium. Its description in RNAcentral is "partial 16S ribosomal RNA". It matches the Rfam family "Bacterial small subunit ribosomal RNA", at positions 524 to 776 of the family's 1533-position model. The record is from RNAcentral.